Molecule: long non-coding RNA, 8170 nt
Filed under: Sorghum bicolor (sorghum)
Lineage: Eukaryota; Viridiplantae; Streptophyta; Magnoliopsida; Poales; Poaceae
Description: long non-coding RNA (SBIC_LNC010693)
Source: RNAcentral
UGAGUUAGAAUAAACUGUCAAGACUUAAAACUUACUUACUUUACCUUUCACCAUGGGACUUGUAACCGUCACUUCUGUCUUGAGUGGUUAAAAGAUAGAACAGUCCCGUCAAGUGCCAUGUCUCUUAUUCUUGAUCAGCUAUAGCUCUGGAGUUUUUGUAGAUUUUCAAAUAAAACUCAGAGAUUCCUUUGUAUGACUCUCUCAUAUCUCUCUUUUGUGGUAUUUCUGGAUCCUUACCAAGGCAGUGAUGGUAUAUGCCUUCUCUCAAAAUAUGUGGUAUUUGUGGUAUAAGGCAUAGUGACAUUGCCUUCUCUCUCACCCUACUCUAAUAAGGCUUUAAUAUCUGGAGCUCAUAGGUGGGAGAUAAAGUAUACAUACUUUCAAGACAUGUAUUGCAUAGUCAAACCAUGGAUCCAAAGAAACAAAUCAAUAAGCCAAAUCAAGAUGUGCAUGUGUGGCGAAUGAAUGGUGAUGAUGGUGAUAACAAUGGUGAAAGUCUAAUUCUACUUUUGCUCUUAUGAGGGGACACAUACCUUCCUUGCUUUUUGAAACUUUAUGAGGAGAAUGAGAUGCUCUUCUUUUUCUUUCCUCUCAGGUGGGUAUCUUGUACCCCUAAUUCUACUGUCGGACACUUGUCCAUUUUUACCUCUCGUCUCACUUUUUCUUUCUUUCGAGAUUCCGGGCACUUGCCCCUUUUUAUUUCCUCGUUUAUUCUCUUUUUUUUUUCUUUUCUUCUCUUUUCUUCUUUUUUUUAGAGCACUCAUCUCCUGAAAUAAUGUAGCAAGUGGUAGUAACCAAAAUAACUAGAGCAUUUAUUUCACAGGGAAUAACAGGGAUAGGAAAAUGUUUUUGGUUAUUCUCUCCCGGAUUAGGAGUAGAAUGAUUUUGGGUGAAACUGGAGAUGGAAAUGGAUGGAUAUAUGUGGAUGGUACUUCCGGAGUAGAAGUAGCAUAUAUGAGUGAACGUGCAAGUGAAUCUUGAUUUAACCACAUGACAAGCUCCUAAGGGUCUACACAGCUUGACCACACUCAAUGCUCAUAAGCAGUAAAUAAAUGUGUGGCUCAAAGUCUAGCAAGCAUGUAUACAUGGCUGUGGUAGGAAUUUAAACUUUCAUCAUACAGGAACUCAUCAUGCAAUAUUUUAAAGAUUUUUCAAAGAUAAAAUUCUCCAGAAUUCUAGCAUCUCUAGGAAUAGAUAAACAGCAGCUCAACCUUCCCAUAUCGUAUCCGUUAACAACUUAGACUUUAGAUCAAGUUUUCAUCCCACAAGUUUAGGUCUAGAGCAAGCUUUAAAUUAUAACAGUUAUAUCUAAACUUGAGAGAGAACUUAAAAUUUGCAAAUUAGGCAGAGCAGCUAUUCAUCAUAUCCAUGCUAGAGUUUUAUUAUUAAGAUUCAGAUUAGCAUAGCCACUUUAUUUAUUUAUUAAACACACUAAGCAAAAGAUAUAUAUAUAUAAGCACAAAAUCUUUAUUUGGUUUUUCAUAGUUUAUGUAUUUUAAUAUUAUAAUAUAAUAUAAGUAUAAAGAUAGGUAGAAAUACUUAGCGAGAUAAAUAGGGGUGCUCUCCCCCAAGCUGAAUUUUGACGUAAUUUCUCUUAAUGUAGCUAGCAGGUGGCAGAGGUGUAUUUGAAAGUCAGCAGCAUUCUGACAGCGAUUAGAAUGUCCUCCAUCUGCUAGUCUUCUUGAUUCUUAAAUUCUGUGGAGCUCAAAUAGACAACAAAGCUUGUGGAACUAAUUAAGUGUUAGCAUAAAUAUCUAGCCUUCAUCACGUUGAGCUUCCUCAAUAAAUAUUACUCCCUGUUUUUAUAUUUUUAUUUUAUAAAGUAGAAAAGAAAUAUUUAUUUUAUUUUUAUGCCACCACAGUGAAGGUACUUAUGGGUUUUAUGCCAUUCGUAUACUCAAAUGGGGCUUAGUAUUUUUUUAACAUUUUUAUUUUCUUUUCAAGAUAGCAUGAUUAACUAAUAAUCUAUUUAAGGAAAGUAAAUAAUUAAAUGGAAAAGGGAAUGCAGAAAGGAUAAAUAUGGAUAACUACCAAUCUUACCUUUCGGCGAGGGUUCAAUGUUUUAAGUCUUCUUGUCAAGACUUCUCAUCGUGUUCAUUCUUCAGGUGCGUCAUUUGAUUCAGGUGCGGACCUUGAUGUCUGCACCUUUUAAUACGGUGUCACCCAUGUUCUUCGUUUGCCCAGCAGUUCGAAUUGCGGUGUUAGCAGUAUCUUGCUCAGCGUGUUUGUGCUCGUAGUGUACCUGCUCAUAGAGACAAGGCAGAGAUCAAGUGCAUGGGCCCUGUUGGUGGAAAACACCAACAGAACCAAAAGUGUAUUUGUUCUUCUCUAACCUUAAGCAUAGUGAGCAAGACAAAGUUGAUGGAUAAUAAGUUCAUGAGUGUAGCACUUAUAACAUUUGUCAGAUCAGAUCGCUCAACCUUAUGGAAAGAUAAUCUAUUUAUGUAUAUGUCUUUUUCUUUAUAUCUCUCAAUGAUUGAAUGUGUAAUAUUUUAGCUCAUAUGAUUAGGAGUGUGGGAUCAUGGAGGUAGUACUAAGAACAAGGAUUAAAGGACUAAACAUGUUUAAUCAGAUGGGUUGGUUAAUCUAGAGUUGUAAAUCAUACACGUUUGUCUCUUUUAUUUAUAUGAACGCCAGAACCAAGGAGAAGCUUAUAAAAGUGAUAGUCAAGUACCUUAAGAUGUUACCUUGCUCGAAGAGUGAUGGUACAGUAUCAUCUUGUGGAAGCUUUCCUUUCUUAGCGGUUGUGCGUCGUGUUUGUGGCACCCUCCAUGGAUCAUCUCUCUAUGAUGAAUGAGCUAUGUCCUUCUUGUGCAAAUUGUUAAACUUCAUGUGUCACUCUCUUCUUCUCUGAUGUGAGUUUAUCUCAGGACUUCCCAAAUCGAUAUUGAAAGUUUUUCUGCGGGGGUUAGUCCGACAAAAUAUACCAAUAUCUACUCAAGCAGUUUUUUUUUAGUUCAAUAACCAAACUAGACUCCAUGUCUAAUCAGAUUAAGGAAGGCUAUUUAACCUAAGCACCAUGCUUAAUUUAAAUGCCAAUGGAAGUAUGGCGAGUACUUCCAAACCAACACUUGCUAGUAAAUAGACAAAGGUAGCAUGACAGCGUUUAUAGAGAUCUACUCAAGUGGAGAUGAAGUAGUGUGAUUAGUAUUUAACAAAUUGAGCAUGUCUCAAAGGUAGGGACAACCAGCAUAGCAACAUGGCAAAGGAUGUUUUUAUGUAAAGUACUCCUCCAAGCUUGAAUUUUGCAGAAUUCAAGUUUGGAUGAAUUUAAUUCAGUGUUGCAUGAUGAUUGGUUGGACAUACCUUGUGCUUGUCAUUCAUCCGAUCUUCUUGCUCCAAUCCUAGAAAGGUUAGUGACAAGAAUACCCGAAGGAAUAUUUUUUUUUUACAAUUAUCCUUAUAUGCUCAAUACACAAGGUAAUGUUGCAAAUAAUUAAAAGCUCGUGUUACAAUCUGAUCAAUGCUUAUUUUAAGACACUAAGCUUGUCCUUGGGAAACCAUCAGUUUAUGUUGGCGAAGUGGUUUCCCCUCCGACGCCAACCUAUAUCGAGAUCAACUCAACGAGAUCUGCAAUAUUUAUUAUAGACAUAUGCAUCGACAACCGCCCUUUUAAAGUUUUUAUAAAUAGAAAGGAAGAGGGGGUUGGAGAUCUCAAGUGUGGUGAUGUCGGAGAGACCAAUAGAUUGGGAAGAUGUUGCAUAUGAGCAUGGAGUAAACGAAGUGGCUAUGAAAUAAAUUCCAUGCUCAUUAAUGUUAUCUUCGUCUCUAAUCUGAAUGUUCGGAGUUUCUCCUGGAUUGGUCUCACCUAUGUCCUCUUCUGUAGUUGGAUGAAUCUCAUCUUCAAAGGGAGUCAAGAACUCACCAUUUGAAAUUGAGCCAAAGUCAGAACCCAUUAAGGCUUCUUCCUUAUCCAUCCAUUCUACACAUUCUAGCCAUUUAGAACUUGUGAUCAUGGAAGGGGAGUAGAUAGAAUUGUCUAUAUGGCUUAGCUCUCCUUCACUUGAUAUGUCAUCCUCGACUUCUUCAUGAUAGGAACCAGGAUAUUCUCUAAGAGAAACAUUAUUGCAAGGAUUUGAAUUAUCCCUGCUUGAAGGUCUCUUAUAGAACCAGAAGUCUAAACCAUCAGCAUCUAAAAGAUUUAAGGUUGGAACUCCUUCCUCUCUUGGAGAAUUUUGGGGUAUUGAUGGUUUAGGAUCGAUAGCUAAAGUUUGGGAUUGAAGUGGUUGUGAUCUGGCUAUCGAAACUUCUUCUUCUUGCCUAGGAACUGGUUCUUUCUCUUUCUCAGGGAUAUAAAAGCUAGGAGACUUUCCGCUCAUUAAAUCAAUCAAAUUCCAAGCUUCACUAGCGGAUAGGUGGUGGAAAGAUCCUCUAGAGGCCGCAUGAAGGGUUUGCUUAUCUUCCUUACUAAGGCCCUCAAAAAAGUGAAUUAGAAGAACUUCUUCUAGAAUAGAAAGUUUUGGGCCAGUGAGAGUAAGGUUAAUAAAGCGGUCCCAUGAUUUGCCAAGAGAUUCUUCUUCCAGUUGUCUAAAAGAAAGAAUCUCACACCGAAGUUCCACCACUUUGGAGAUUGGAAAAUAUUUAGAAAGAAAACUACUAUAUAACUCCUUCCAAUCUCCAUGAGCACUCCCUACUUUGAGGUUAUACCAAUGUCUAGCUUUUCCCGUUAAAGAGAACGGAAAGAGCUUCCAUUUAAGGGUCUCAUCGGACAUGCCUUCUAUGCGAAGGAGGUCACAGACUCGAUAAAACUCUCUUAGGUGUGUGUAUGGGUUUUCCUCACCUUCUCCUGAGAAAGGUUGUUUUUGAAUAAAUUCUAUGUAUUCGGGGUCUAUCUCAAAACUCGAUGCUAUGAUAGGCUUUGAAGAUUUUGGUGGUUCGAGAUGUGUGCCCAUAGGUCUAUGAAAUUCAUAGAUAGACAUGUUUGAAUUCAUAAUAGACCAGAGAUCAAGGAUUAGAUAAGAAGAAAGAAUAGCAGAGAUGAGGCAAAGGAUAAAAGGAAAAUAUUUUUUUUUUGUUAUAUAUUUUUUUUUAUAAAAUGAUUAAACUAGUUCGUAGUCAACUCAGCAACCGUUUCCCCGGCAACGGCGCCAAAAAUGCUUGUUGACACUUGCUAACACCACUUGAAUACUAGGUUGUCAUCCCCAGCAUGGCACUAGAGUGUACUAUGGUAUUUAUACGCAAACAGAUAAUCCGCAAGCGCACGGAUACCGUUGAAGCUUUUACCCGGUUAAAGGUUUUAUCGUAUCCACAGGGAAACGGGAGAACCAACUACGCUCUAACUUAACCAAGAUAGAUAGAUAGGUGUAAAUAGGAAAGUUGAUAGAAUCGAAUAAGAACAAUAUUAAAGGUAAGAUAACAGUGAGUGAUAAUAUGGGAAUAGAGAGUAGAGCAAUUCUAGUAUAUGGGCGAUGGUAGCAGAAUAGAGAGGAUAACUAUGGUUUCUCUACUUCAAAGGGGUAUGUCUAUGUCUGGGACGAACCACGUGAUAAGAGUACACCACAAAGGAUGCUUAUCCAUAGGCCGAUAAACCCUACCCGUCCUGCUAACGAGAGGUGGACUACAGGGGACCAACGUAACUGUCACCUACGCGGCCUACCACACGAUCCAGCUAGUCAGGGGAUAUCCACAAGUAAUCUAGGUCUAAGCACCACGCUUACACCUAUACUACAACUCUAACCUAUAGGGUCCUAUAGAUUAGAAGUACUCAAAAGAGUUGUGAACCAGAACAUACAUGAUUAGUAAUUGCAUAAUGAAUUAGAAGUAGAUUACCAGAGUCAUCCCAUGAGCAAGCUUGAUUAGAGCUUGAUCAUGGCGAAGUACAACCGAAGGAAGAACCGACAGGCCGGCCUCUCCUCUAAUCCUCCUUCGCUCUCCAUCUCGCUACUAUCUAGAUCUACUCUAGUUUAGAGAAGAGAGGAGAGCUCUCAUCUCUAAACCCUAGAUUUUGCUCUGUCUAUGAAUAAUGAAUAAUGAUCAAGGGGUGCCUCCUCCAGGGGCCAGGGGGUCUGGUUUUAUAGUCCCCUCAAGUGAACCUGGGCCGUCGGAUCAAACCGACAUUGAUUGAACGGUUAUUCUUGAUCCUUUAGGUCAGUGGAGCAUAAUCCGCGAGAUUGAGCGUGAUUGGCCACAGGAGGUGGGCGGGCGCCCAGUAGGACAGGGCGGGCGCCCUGUCUCUGGCCCCGUUUCGCCUCCGCUUCGGUCUCGUGGCUUCUGGAGUCUUCUAGAUGUAAGAUAAUUGUACGGCACGUUGAUAUCUCUAUGUAAUCCCGACGUGUGGGCCUUUCUUCCUUAUUUCCUGAUAACCCCCUACAGAAAUAGACAAACACCAAAACUCGUAGAAUUCUGUCAGAUAAAACCCUAAGUCUUGAUGUUGAUUUCAUUUGGAUCCUUUUCUUUGUUUAUUUGAUAGUUAAAUUUGAUACUUAAGGACCGUCAACAAACUCCCCCAAGCUUACCUCUUGCUCGUCCCUGAGAAUGGAUAGACUCAGCUAUGGAUCAUAAGUUGUUGCAAUAUCUUUAAAAAUUGACGGUACACAUGCUUUUAAAUGAAGUCUCAUCUCUGAGUUAGAGUAAACUGUCAAGACUUAAAACUUACUUACUUUACCUUUCACCAUGGGACUUGUAACCGUCACUUCUGUCUUGAGUGGUUAAAAGAUAGAACAGUCCCGUCAAGUGCCAUGUCUCUUAUUCUUGAUCAGCUAUAGCUCUGGAGUUUUUGUAGAUUUUCAAAUAAAACUCAGAGAUUCCUUUGUAUGACUCUCUCAUAUCUCUCUUUUGUGGUAUUUCUGGAUCCUUACCAAAGCAGUGAUGGUAUAUGCCUUCUCUCAAAAUAUGUGGUAUUUGUGGUAUAAGGCAUAGUGACAUUGCCUUCUCUCUCACCCUACUCUAAUAAGGCUUUAAUAUCUGGAGCUCAUAGGUGGGAGAUAAAGUAUACAUACUUACAAGACAUGUAUUGCAUAGUCAAACCAUGGAUCCAAAGAAACAAAUCAAUAAGCCAAAUCAAGAUGUGCAUGUGUGGCGAAUGAAUGGUGAUGAUGGUGAUAACAAUGGUGAAAGUCUAAUUCUACUUUUGCUCUUAUGAGGGGAUACAUACCUUCCUUGCUUUUUGAAACUUUAUGAGGAGAAUGAGAUGCUCUUCUUUUUGUUUCCUCUCAGGUGGGUAUCUUGUACCCCUAAUUCUACUGUCGGACACUUGUCCAUUUUUACCUCUCGUCUCACUUUUUCUUUCUUUCGAGGUUCCGGGCACUUGCCCCUUUUUAUUUCCUCGUUUAUUCUCAUUUUUUUUUCUUUUCUUCUCUUUUCUUCUUUUUUUUAGAGCACUCAUCUCCUGAAAUAAUGUAGCAAGUGGUAGUAACCAAAAUAACUAGAGCAUUUAUUUCACAGGGAAUAACAGGGAUAGGAAAAUGUUUUUGGUUAUUCUCUCCCGGAUUAGGAGUAGAAUGAUUUUGGGUGAAACUGGAGAUGGAAAUGGAUGGAUAUAUGCGGAUGGUACUUCCGGAGUAGAAGUAGCAUAUAUGAGUGAACGUGCAAGUGAAUCUUGAUUUAACCACAUGACAAGCUCCUAAGGGUCUACACAGCUUGACCACACUCAAUGCUCAUAAGCAGUAAAUAAAUGUGUGGCUCAAAGUCUAGCAAGCAUGUAUAUAUGGCUGUGGUAGGAAUUUAAACUUUCAUCAUACAGGAACUCAUCAUGCAAUAUUUUAAAGAUUUUUCAAAGAUAAAAUUCUCCAGAAUUCUAGCAUCUCUAGGAAUAGAUAAACAGCAGCUCAACCUUCCCAUAUCGUAUCCGUUAACAACUUAGACUUUAGAUCAAGUUUUCAUCCCACAAGUUUAGGUCUAGAGCAAGCUUUAAAUUAUAACAGUUAUAUCUAAACUUGAGAGAGAACUUAAAAUUUGCAAAUUAGGCAGAGCAGCUAUUCAUCAUAUCCAUGCUAGAGUUUUAUUAUUAAGAUUCAGAUUAGCAUAGCCACUUUAUUUAUUUAUUAAACACACUAAGCAAAAGAUAUAUAUAUAUAAGCACAAAAUCUUUAUUUGGUUUUUCAUAGUUUAUGUAUUUUAAUAUUAUAAUAUAAUAUAAGUAUAAAGAUAGGUAGAAAUACUUAGCGAGAUAAAUAGGGGUGCUCUCCCCCAAGCUGAAUUUUGAUGUAAUUUCUCUUAAUGUAGCUAGCAG